AUGCACGCUGACAGAAUGCUUAACACAUGCAAGUCUUUGGCGAAGCUGUGCUUGCACAGCCUAGCCAAGGCGGACGGGUGAGUAACGCGUAAGGAACUUGCCCUGCAGUCAGGGAUAACAGACGGAAACGACUGAUAAGACCUGGUAAAGUCAGGCGGACUCAUGUCCAGCCUGAUGAAAAGAGAUGCUGCAGGAGAGCCUUGCGUCCUAUUAGCUUGUUGGUGGGGUAACGGCCCACCAAGGCGAUGAUAGGUAGCCGGCCUGAGAGGGUGGACGGCCACAAGGGGACUGAGAUACGGCCCUUACUCCUACGGGAGGCAGCAGUGGGGAAUAUUGGACAAUGGGGGCAACCCUGAUCCAGCAAUUCUGUGUGCACGAUGAAGGUUUUCGGAUUGUAAAGUGCUUUCAGCAGGGAAGAAAAAAAUGACGGUACCUGCAGAAGAAGCGACGGCUAAAUACGUG
Molecule: ribosomal RNA, 462 nt
Filed under: uncultured bacterium
Lineage: Bacteria
Description: partial 16S ribosomal RNA
Rfam family: Bacterial small subunit ribosomal RNA
Source: RNAcentral